GACGGCACACACAAUUGUCCAGCAUCAACCAAAUGUGUGAACAGUCCACCGGGUAACUACAGUUGCCAAUGUGAAGAGGGGUAUACAAUGGUAGAUAACCAGUGUAAACUGAUAUGCGGAAGCAAGACCUGCGCUGACAAAGCUAACUGUUUACACAAUCGCCGUUGCGUGUGUCAGAAGGGUUACUAUGGUAUCGGUCAUAUUAACUGUUCAGAUACCUGUGGUGGACACGAGUGCGUGAAGUUUUCAAAUUGCAAUCGAAACAAAUGCAAGUGUAACCGAGGCUUCUAUGGAAAUGCAACUGUGGAAUGUAAAA
Long non-coding RNA from Pecten maximus, 316 nucleotides. RefSeq lists it as uncharacterized. The record is from RefSeq and is a predicted model, not a curated record. The transcript is spliced from 3 exons. NCBI's taxonomy places the organism in Eukaryota, Metazoa, Mollusca, Bivalvia, Pectinida, Pectinidae.